RNAcentral lists this microRNA precursor (174 nucleotides) under Podarcis lilfordi (Lilford's wall lizard). Lineage: Eukaryota; Metazoa; Chordata; Lepidosauria; Squamata; Lacertidae. The record is from RNAcentral.
AUUUAGCGAGCUGAGUGGGGAGGAGAGAGGGACAGAGAGCCUGUUUGCUUUAAAGGAACCAACUGGACAGGAGCCGCUUACACUCGUGUAAGCGGCUCCUCUCCUCUCCCGCUUUGCUCCUUUAAAAAAGCAGGCUCUCUGUCCCUCUCUCCUCCCCACUCCGCGGCUCUUCUC